This 458-nucleotide ribosomal RNA is filed under the name uncultured Rhodococcus sp. RNAcentral's name for it is "bacterial SSU rRNA". It matches the Rfam family "Bacterial small subunit ribosomal RNA", at positions 950 to 1412 of the family's 1533-position model. Lineage: Bacteria; Bacillati; Actinomycetota; Actinomycetes; Mycobacteriales; Nocardiaceae. The record is from RNAcentral.
CACGGGGGGAACGCGAAGAACUUACCUGGGUUUGACAUAUACCGGAAAGCCGUAGAGAUACGGCCCCCCUUGUGGUCGGUAUACAGGUGGUGCAUGGCUGUCGUCAGCUCGUGUCGUGAGAUGUUGGGUUAGGUCCCGCAACGAGCGCAACCCUUGUCUUAUGUUGCCAGCACGUAAUGGUGGGGACUCGUAAGAGACUGCCGGGGUCAACUCGGAGGAAGGUGGGGACGACGCCAAGUCAUCAUGCCCCUUAUGUCCAGGGCUUCACACAUGCUACAAUGGCCGGUACAGAGGGCUGCGAUACCGUGAGGUGGAGCGAAUCCCUUAAAGCCGGUCUCAGUUCGGAUCGGGGUCUGCAACUCGACCCCGUGAAGUCGGAGUCGCUAGUAAUCGCAGAUCAGCAACGCUGCGGUGAAUACGCUCCCGGGCCUUGUACACACCGAAUCACUAGUGAAUUC